CCUACGGGAGGCAGCAGUGAGGAAUAUUGGUCAAUGGUCGCGAGACUGAACCAGCCAAGUAGCGUGAGGGAUGAAUGCCCUAAGUGUUGUAAACUUCUUUUAUCAGGGAAUAAAGUGUUGCACGUGUGCCUUUUUGUAUGUACCUUAUGAAUAAGUAUCGGCUAACUCCGUGCCAGCAGCCGCGGUAAUACGGAGGAUCCGAGCGUUAUCCGGAUUUAUUGGGUUUAAAGGGUGCGUAGGUGGGUUGUUAAGUCAGUGGUGAAAGUUUGCGGCUCAACCGUAAAAUUGCAGUUGAUACUGGCAGUCUUGAGUACAGUAGAGGUAGGCGGAAUUCGUGGUGUAGCGGUGAAAUGCUUAGAUAUCACGAAGAACUCCGAUUGCGAAGGCAGCUUACUG
Molecule: ribosomal RNA, 396 nt
Filed under: uncultured bacterium
Lineage: Bacteria
Description: partial 16S ribosomal RNA
Rfam family: Bacterial small subunit ribosomal RNA
Source: RNAcentral